CAUCUCAUACCUCCCAUAUUCGCAAUCUCUUGUUGGAUUAAUAGUAACUUUAAAUUUCAAAGGACUGUUAUUCUCCUGUUGCAGUAGCAACUUCAGUAAAAUUAACCAAACCAAAUAGAGAUUUGAUCCUACAUGAAAUUUAUUAUUUUCUUUCAAUUCCUUUUCCUCGUUGGUGCUUGAUGUGACUGCAAUACUUUCCCCAGCAGCACUAUGAAGCACAGUCCUUUCAGCCGUAAUUUGAUCCUACAUCGAAUUUAUUAUUUUCUUUCAAUUCCUUUUCCUCGUUGGUGCUUGAUGUGUCAGUGACUGCAAUACCUUCCCCAGCAGCACUACGAAGCACAGUCCUUUCAACCGUGC
RNAcentral lists this long non-coding RNA (357 nucleotides) under Nicotiana benthamiana. Its description in RNAcentral is "long non-coding RNA (NBEN_LNC037778)". The record is from RNAcentral. Lineage: Eukaryota; Viridiplantae; Streptophyta; Magnoliopsida; Solanales; Solanaceae.